CCCCUAGAUGUUCUGGGCCGCACGCGCGCUACACUGAACAGUUCAACAAGUCUUAACCUUGGCCGAUAGGUCUGGGUAAUCUUUGAACGCUGUUCGUGACUGGGAUAGACCUUUGCAAUUAUGGGUCUUCAACGAGGAAUUCCUAGUAAACGCAAGUCAUCAGCUUGCAUUGAUUACGUCCCUGCCCUUUGUACACACCGCCCGUCGCACCUACCGAUUGAAUGGUCCGGUGAAAUCUCGGGACGGCGGCUUGGUCGCUUGCGUCCGACUGCUGAAACUUGAUUAAACCAUAUCAUUUAGAGGAAGGAGAAGUCGUAACA
RNAcentral lists this ribosomal RNA (320 nucleotides) under uncultured eukaryote. RNAcentral describes it as "partial 18S ribosomal RNA". It matches the Rfam family "Eukaryotic small subunit ribosomal RNA", at positions 1470 to 1796 of the family's 1831-position model. The record is from RNAcentral.